This 270-nucleotide ribosomal RNA is filed under the name uncultured archaeon. Its description in RNAcentral is "partial 16S ribosomal RNA". It matches the Rfam family "Archaeal small subunit ribosomal RNA", at positions 477 to 747 of the family's 1478-position model. The record is from RNAcentral.
CAGCACCUCAAGUGGUCAGGAUGAUUAUUGGGCCUAAAGCAUCCGUAGCCGGCGCUGUAGGUUUUCGGUUAAAUCUGUACGCUCAACGUACAGGCUGCCGGGAAUACUGCAGAGCUAGGGAGUGGGAGAGGCAGACGGUACUCGGUAGGAAGGGGUAAAAUCCUUUGAUCUAUUGAUGACCACCUGUGGCGAAGGCGGUCUACCAGAACACGUCCGACGGUGAGGGAUGAAAGCUGGGGGAGCAAACCGGAUUAGAUACCCGAGUAGUCC